This 496-nucleotide ribosomal RNA is filed under the name uncultured bacterium. Its description in RNAcentral is "partial 16S ribosomal RNA". It matches the Rfam family "Bacterial small subunit ribosomal RNA", at positions 28 to 506 of the family's 1533-position model. The record is from RNAcentral.
GAUGAACGCUGGCGGCGUGCCUAAUACAUGCAAGUCGAGCGAACAGACGAGGAGCUUGCUCCUCUGACGUUAGCGGCGGACGGGUGAGUAACACGUGGAUAACCUACCUAUAAGACUGGGAUAACUUCGGGAAACCGGAGCUAAUACCGGAUAAUAUAUUGAACCGCAUGGUUCAAUAGUGAAAGACGGUUUUGCUGUCACUUAUAGAUGGAUCCGCGCCGCAUUAGCUAGUUGGUAAGGUAACGGCUUACCAAGGCAACGAUGCGUAGCCGACCUGAGAGGGUGAUCGGCCACACUGGAACUGAGACACGGUCCAGACUCCUACGGGAGGCAGCAGUAGGGAAUCUUCCGCAAUGGGUGAAAGCCUGACGGAGCAACGCCGCGUGAGUGAUGAAGGUCUUCGGAUCGUAAAACUCUGUUAUUAGGGAAGAACAAAUGUGUAAGUAACUAUGCACGUCUUGACGGUACCUAAUCAGAAAGCCACGGCGAACUACGU